Molecule: ribosomal RNA, 1019 nt
Filed under: uncultured Zavarzinella sp.
Lineage: Bacteria; Pseudomonadati; Planctomycetota; Planctomycetia; Gemmatales; Gemmataceae
Description: bacterial SSU rRNA
Rfam family: Bacterial small subunit ribosomal RNA
Source: RNAcentral
CUGUAGCGAUAUGGCGAAGGGGCAGUAAUACAUGGGUAACCUACCCUGGGGAUGGGCAUAGCCGGUCUAACGGCCGGGUAAUACCCAGAGAUUCGGCGAGGAGGCAUCUUUUUGCCGGGAAAUGAAUUUCGCUUCGGGAGGGGUCCAUGAGCUAUCAGCUAGUUGGUGGGGUAGCGGCCUACCAAGGCUAAGACGGCUAGCGGGUGUGAGAGCACGACCCGCGCCACUGGCACUGAGACACUGGCCAGACACCUACGGGUGGCUGCAGUCGAGGAUCUUCGUCAAUGGGCGAAAGCCUGAACGAGCGAUGCCGCGUGAGCGAUGAAGGCCUUCGGGUUGUAAAGCUCAAAAGUGAAGAGAAAGGGAAACUUGAUCGAUUCACAGUAAGCUCGGGCUAAGUUCGUGCCAGCAGCCGCGGUAAGACGAACCGAGCGAACGUUGUUCGGAAUCACUGGGCUUAAAGGGCGCGUANGCGGGCAUUCAAGUCUGUGGUGAAAUCCUCCAGCUCAACUGGAGAACUGCCAUGGAUACUGGGUGUCUCGAGGGUGGUAGGGGUAUGCGGAACUAUCGGUGGAGCGGUGAAAUGCGUUGAUAUCGAUAGAACUCCGGUGGCGAAGCGGCUUACUGGGCCCAUCUGACGUGAAGCCGAAAGCCAGGGGAGCAAACGGGAUUAGAUACCCCGGUAGUCCUGGCCCUAAACGAUGGGUACUAGCUAGUAGGGUUCACAUGGCUUUACUGGCGAAGCAAAAGUGCUAAGUACCCCGCCUGGGGAGUAUGGUCGCAAGGCUGAAACUCAAAGGAAUUGACGGGGGCUCACACAAGCGGUGGAGCAUGUGGCUUAAUUCGAGGCUACGCGAAGAACCUUAUCCUAGACUUGACAUGUGCGAUAGCGUUGAGCGGUACGUCUCCGAAAGGAAGGCCGAUUCCCAGCAAUGGGAGGACUCAACACAGGUGCUGCAUGGCUGUCGUCAGCUCGUGUCGUGAGAUGUCGGGUUAAGUCCCAUAACGAGCGAAACCCU